CCCAAGUAGCUGGGAUUACAAGCGCCUGCCAACACGCCCAGCUAAUUUUUGUAUUUUUAAUAGAGAUGGGGUUUCACCAUUUUGGCCAGGCUGGUCCUGAACUCCUGACCUCCUGAUCCACCUGCCUCGGCCUCCCAAAGUGCUGGGAUUACAGGCGUGAGCCACUGCGUCCGGCCUUGCCUCACCGUUAAAAGACUACAAUAUGACGUGAUACAUCAGCUUUUUCGAAGUCCAGUGUACGUCAGACCCUGAGGCCUGCAGUAUCUGGAAUGGUGUUGCUGGAUGUGCAAAACUGCCAGGCUCUGGCUUGUGGUGUUCUCAUCUACCAGAUCAUUCCUGGGAGGCCCAAUUUGGCCAGCUGGCUCACCUCUGCCGGUGGUAUUGCUAGCAUUGCACAUUGGAACUGCAGCUUGGGAAAGUGAUAGAAACCAAACACAUGGUGGGUACAAAGCAAGUUUGUUGUAUUUUAUCCACAUUAGUAUUUUGGAUGUUUCAAUAUUUAAACAUUUCAAAAAGCAAAAUCAAUGAUAAUACUUCUUGAAUGUGUUGUGAACAAUGCAAGCCUUUUAUUAAAAAUUAUGGAAUAUUCGAAAGAAAUGUUUUUCUUACAAGAGAGCAGAGAAUAAUUACUCAGGGUUCCUGUGUCAAAGCCUCUAGGGCCCCUUUACUGUCCAGAAUUCUUAGUAAGUGGAAAACCUUUCCCAAGCACAAUGAAGUCUCAACCCUGAUACGGGCAGGACAGCAAAAGACCUGUCUCCUCUUUCCAGAGCAAACCCCAGUGGUUGCACCUGUCCUCCCAUUACACUUUGGGGAUAAACCCUGGAGGCCAUAGUGUAGGGGACCAGUUUCAUGGGUCUUGUUGCCAAAGCUUACUUUUUUGAUCCUACUGCUAAAUUCUGACCCUUCCUCCAAUUGAUCUGCUUUCCAAAAAGAGCAUACCAACACCUGCACAAACCAUUUGAUGUGGUGCAGUAAGCUGUUUCAUCCAAGUGUUCCAAAGCCAUAGGAUGAGCAAGGGGGAAAAACUUAGACCUGUAUAGGAUCUUCCCCCAGGUAGUUACUCUUUCACAGGGGGUGCAUGGGAGACAGGCUGCUGUUGUGCCAUCCUUUCCAUUACAUAAUGAUAACAACUGUUACUUGGAAUGCUUUAAUGCUUGAUGUUAUUUAUGUUUAAAUAUUUGCUGUAUUCCUGGCUCUGUGCUAAAUGCUAUGCCUGCAUCUUAAAAAAUCCUUAAAAUAACUCAAGGUAGGUACCAUUGUUGCUUCCAUUCUCCAGAUGGGACACUAAGACUUUAAGAAGUUAAAUAGCUCACCUGAAAACACACAGCUAGUAAGUAACACAAUGGAGACUUGAACCCAAGUCUAUUCUACUCUAGACCAUGGACUCCAAGAUUAAUUAAUUAUGCAAAUAAGGAAUGUGGAGAGUUCAGCCUUGAGCAAAGGGAGAUUAGCUUGUUUUGCACCAACUCUUCUGCUGAGGAAAGGACAAAAGCCAGAAUAUACAUACCUAUUCAGGGAUCAGAGGGCUGUUGAGAAAGCAAGGGCUAAUAUUCGAGAGACCUACAUUUGAUACUGUUCGUUUCCCCCUCAAGGGACUUGCUAAUUCAAGGGCAGGGGCUGAGAAACUGAACAGAAUUUGUAGAAGACUAAUGCAGACCAAAAAUUAGAGUUGGGGUCCAAGUAGAAGCAGCCCUGGAAAACACCCCAGACUUUCUCGUGGGACCCCAAAGAGCUACUCUUUGAUUAAAGGUGAAUUGGUUAUGGGCCUGUCCUCACAAGGACUGAAGCCCAGCCUCAGAUCUAGUGGAUAGCCAGAAGCAAAAACAAAGCCCCUCUGAAGGAGGACAUGGUCUAAUUUCUCAAAUUUUCUCUAUUAAUUGUUUUCAAAGUCUGCUUAAGAAAUAGGAAUGCAAAAACACAAGAUUCGACCAACAAUGAGAAAGUGAACAAUAGAAACAGACCUCCAGGAAAUUCACGUAGUUAACAUUAUCUGACCGGUGUCUUACAAUAACUAUGAUUAAAAUGUUCAUGAAUUAAAUGACCAAAUGGAACAACUUCAGGAGAGAACUGGACACUAUGUUUAAAAUUCUAGAAUUGAAAAAUAAUAUAACAAUUUAAGAAAUCAGUAGAUGGCUCUGAUAGACACAACUUAAGAGAUAGGUAAUGAAAUGAAAGAUAAGAAAAUAUCCAGACUGGUGCUGGGGGUAAAUAGGAAGACAACUAUUCGAAGAGUUAAUGGUUAAGGUUGUUCCCAAAUUAAUGAAAGACAUUAAGCCACAUAAAUAAGAAAUGCUGUUGACCUCUAAGCAGGAUAAGUUACAAUGAAAGUUAUACUUAAUUACUUCAUAGUAAAACUACUGGAAAACAAAGACUAAUUUUAAAAGUAGCCAGAGGAAAAAUAUAUAUUACUUUCAAAGGAGCAACAGCAAGCCUUGAGAGGGAAUUUUCAGCAGAAGUAAUGAUAGUGGAAAAUGGAAUGGUGUUUUCAAAGAGCUUCAAGAAAAUAAUAGUCAACCUAGAAGACUAUGAGGCAAAAAUAUCCUUCCAAAGACACGUCCAGACAAAGGAAAAUAGAAUUUGCCACCAAUGAAAAGUACCAAAAGUAUGAAAGGAAAGUACUAAAGGGUGUUGUUGGAGCAGAAGGAAAAUGAUCACUGACCACAGCUGGAGGUGCAGAAAGGCAUUGAAAGGCAAUGGAAAGGGUAAGUAUGUGUAUAAAACUAAAUAAAUAUUGAAUGUGUGAAACAACUUUUUACUUUCUGGGGUCUUAAAUAUAUAAAGAACUAAAAUACAUCACCAAGAGAAGCACGUUAAGUGUGGAGGGAGGUAAAUGUAGGGGUCCCCAACAUUUCUGGCACCAGAGACCAGUUUUGUGGAAGAUAAUUUUUUCCCAGACAGUGGGUGGAGGGGUGGAGGGAUUGGGAGCAUGGUGUUGGGAUGACACUGUCCCACCUUAAAUCAUCAGGCAUUAGAUUCUCAUAAGGAGUGCACAACCUAGAUCCCUCACAUGCACAGUUCACAAUAGGGUUAGCGCUCCUAUGAGAAUCUAAUGCUGCUGUUGGUCUGACAGGAGGUGGAGCUCAGGCGGUAAUGCUUGCUGGCUUGCCACCCAUCUCUUGCUGUGCAGCCCAGUUCCUGACAGGCCACUGACCAGUACUGGUUCACAGCCUGGGGACUGUGGACCCCUGGGUAAAUGGAAUUAAAGUAUUCUGAAGUCCUUGAAUUGUCUUGAAAGUGAAAAUGGUGGAGGCACUGAUUUAUAUUAGAAAUUAAUAAAUCAGGGGUACAUGUUUCAGUUUCUACGGUAUUUUGUAAAAGAAUAAGAGUAUGUAAAACUAACAAGAUAACAGAAGGAGAAUAUGAAAUAAAAUAAUCCAAAGGAAGGCAAAAAGAAAAAAAGGCGCAUAGAACAGAUGGGAACAAAUAGAAAACAAACACCCACAUGCAUCAAUCUCUACAUCAAGCAUAUGUGGACUAAAUAUUCCAAUUCAAAGGCAAUAUUAUUAUCACCCUGGAUAAAGAACAAAUAUAAUUCUCUGAGACUUAAAAACAACAUACCUUAAACAAGGAUACAGAAAGAUGGAAAGUAAAAGGAUGGAAAAAGGACUAUCAUGCAAGUAUUAACCAAAAGGAAGCUGGUGUAUUUAGUACACGAAGUGAACUUUCAGGUAUUACCAGAGUAUGAAGGAUAUUUCAUAAUGAUAAAGGGCUUGCUUUACCAGUACUAUACCGAUGGCUGAGGUAUUUGGGCUGUCUGUGAGGCUCAGAUGGGCUGCCUGUGGCCCUGCCUCACCUUGGAGAUGGCCCAGGAAGCUAACUGAGACUUGGAGUUGGUCGAAGAGGAGCCAGACUCUAAAUAUUUGAAGAUUGUGUGCGUAUGUGUGUGUGUGUUUAGGGGAAAACAUGAGAGGUAGAGUACUAUUCAAAAGGACAAGAAGUGGAACAUUUUCUUUUAUAAAUCAAAUAAAUGGUGGCUCUGAGCCUUCCCCCACCUCCUGCCUUUUUUGGGUCCAGAUUGCUAAGAAAUGUUAUUAAUGAUAGCUCACACUUACGACAUUAUUGCCUUCUAAGUGCUUUGUAGGUAUUAAUUUAUUUAAUCCUCACAACAGCCUUAGGAGACAGGCAUCAUCACUACCAUCGCCAUUUUACAGAUGGAAAAACCAGCAACCAUCAGAGCUGGUAUUCAAAAUAAGCCAAUUCAGAUUCCGAGUCCCGGCUCCUAACCAUGGAGUGGCCUCAGGGUUUUAUAGUUUGUCCGGCUCUUUGGAUGAACAUCACACCUCAUGGAGGAGAGUCCCUUCCAUUUUAACGGCUCCAGGUUGUCAUGGAAAUCCUCUGUAUACAAGAGGGUAAGGAGGAGGAUGAGAAGCAAUACAUGCUUAUUGGGACUUUCUAUCAUCCCAGGACUUAUCCAGGUACAUUAUAACAAUGUUGAAUACAGUAUUAGUCCCAUUUUAACUAUGAGGAAAAUAAGGUUUGGACUGUCAGAGACAGAGCAAGACACAUUGGUAAGGGCAGACAAGGGAUUCAUCUGACUCCAAUGCCUCUUCCUUGGUAAACCAGACUGGCUUGUCACACCGUGAAAUUAGAGUCAACUUGUUAAAUCUUGACAGGUUGCUAAAUUAUUAAUUACACCCCCAGGAGCUGUGACUGGAGCAGCAGGGAUGCUAUGGCUGCACUGUACUAUUUUUAGCACUAGAUGGUGCUGUAACACUGCACAUCUCUUCCGCGGUGGCCCUUGGAGGAAGGUUACUUCAGGGCUUGGAGACCCUGGAGGGAAGGAUGCUACCUUACCAGAGCGUGAAAAAAACAUGGAAGACAGGAUACUCUCGGGCCCUGAGAAAGCUGGAGACUGUAGCCACCAGGUGGCUCCAGGAUGUGCAGUACUGGCGUCUGGGUUUUGCUCACACAACCGUGAACUCCUGGUCCCACCGAGCCCUAGCGAGUGGAUUGGAGCACACACCCACCCACCUCCUCAGAGCUCCUACGAGUAGAGGAGGUACCUAGGCACGUGGGAGCUUGGCGCCUUGUUAGGUGCUCAGGAUACUGGUUGUCCGGAAUCCCAGUGAGGUGCAGUCCCGCCCUUGUGCCACUUUCCCAUGCGCUUCCUGCCCCUCUGGGGGCUGCAGAGGCUGCAGAGUUGUCCAGCUUGAGAAACUGUAUCAAGGUUGCUCCCUGACGGCCUGGCAACUCGCUGAAGAGCUGCCUUCAGUUCAGAACAGUUUUAGGGAGAUUGUCAUAAACUCAAUGAGUUUAAAUGAUUUUACACUGACUCUUCAAAAAUGUCAAGGUCAUGAAAGACAAAGGCCGAGGAACUGCCCCAGACUGGAGGAGGCGGGAGACAUGGCAGCUGUGAAUGCACCGUGGGUCCUGAACCAGAAAAAGGAGCUCAGUGGGACGAUUGGUAACUUUUUGAUGCAAUCUGUCGAUUUUGCAUAUAGAAGACGGUAAUUUUAAAAACAGUGAAAGAAGAAAUGUAUCUGAGAAUUCAAUCAGUCAAUAGACUUUAGACAUCUGAAAAGAAAACACAAGAGGUUCGGUUGGUGCAAUGUUCCUUUCUUCCCAGGACUUUCUGGUCUUCAAGGCUUUCUCAUGAGACAGAAGACUGAUGGAUGUAGAAGUUUCUAAGAGGACAGUUACGCUGCCAUGUUUUGAAGCAGGAAGACGUUACCACUUCUCAAAGGUCUUUAAUUGCCUGACCACUGCUUCUCUUUGGAAGGCUGUCAGGGUGAUGGAAUCUCAGAUCACAGCACAGAUAAAAUGGACAAAGAAAGAAAGAUACAAGAAGGAUGUAAAAAUGUCCAUAAUGAACUCAUGUAUCUUGCGGAAACCUCUAAUCUAAUGAGAAUGGAUUUUGUUGAGAAGAUUGUACACCAACAAUUAAUUAUUCAUGGCAGAGA
RNAcentral lists this long non-coding RNA (5900 nucleotides) under Homo sapiens (human). Its description in RNAcentral is "HSALNT0340253". Lineage: Eukaryota; Metazoa; Chordata; Mammalia; Primates; Hominidae. The record is from RNAcentral.